AUAAUACUCCAUCCGCCCCAAAAUUCUUGUCUUAGAUUUGUCUAAAUACAGAUGUAUCAAGUCACGUUUUAGUUUUAGAUACAUCCAUAUCUAGAAAAAUCUAAGACAAGAAUUUUAGGACGAAUGAAGUAUAAA
This is a non-coding RNA of Triticum aestivum (bread wheat), 135 nucleotides long. The record is from Rfam. Lineage: Eukaryota; Viridiplantae; Streptophyta; Magnoliopsida; Poales; Poaceae.